Myotis brandtii (Brandt's bat) is the source of this 609-nucleotide long non-coding RNA. RefSeq lists it as uncharacterized. Lineage: Eukaryota; Metazoa; Chordata; Mammalia; Chiroptera; Vespertilionidae. The transcript has 3 exons. The record is from RefSeq and is a predicted model, not a curated record.
UACCCAAGCAGGACUGACAUUCCUCCAGGCAGUCACAGCUGCAAAGGUCUUUUGUCUGCGCCUCCAGCGCUUUAGCACAACCUGGGGAUGAUGGGGCCUUCCAGAACUGCAGGCUGGGCCCGGCUUUCCUCUCAGACCUGUGUGGGUUUCUAAGAAUCAGUCACUUGCAGUCAAUUUCAGUUUGGAAAUAUGAAGUAGAAGAUUCCAGAAAUAAACAAUUGCAUGCUGUUCUAAGUAGAGUGAAGAAAUCUUGCCCUGUCUCACUGUUUCACCAGGGACCUGACUCAUCCCUUUGUCAAGUUCAUCCAUGCGUACAAGGUCCCCAACGGCCUGGACUCUUGGCAUCCUACUAAAUCCAGAGACCUGGCUGGAUCAUGAAAAGACUGACUGUUUGACUUGACAGUCUCACUAUUGUCUACUGAAAUUUUACCAGUAAGUUCAAGUGACAGCUGGAGAACAUAGCAGAGAAAAGGUUUCCACUAUCAGCGGCCGCAGCAAUCUGGGCUCAUUAUUAAGGUUCAGAGGGGCUGGAAACUCAAAUAGGCUGAGUCUUGGUGAAGUCAAACAUCAACUGAUUCUCAGCACAUUGUCAAUACCACGGGCUUGCCA